AAGAUGCAGCUGAGAUGUCGAGACAUGGAGUGGUGGAUGAGGAGGAGGCAGUUGCCAUCACGAUUAAGACAAAGAGUUCGCCAUUUUGAACGUCAGAGAUGGGCUGCGAUGGGAGGAGAAGAUGAGAUGGAAAUGAUCAAAGACUUGCCUGAGGGGCUGAGGAGGGACAUCAAGCGCCAUCUUUGCCUCGACCUCAUUAAAAAGGUGAGUAAAUGAAAGAUUCUCGCAGAACUUUUAAUCACUUUCCGAAGAGAAAAUAUUUUCUUGUGCAGUUGCCACCGGUCUCAAUGUUUGCAUGACUCACAAUUCAUCAAGAUAAUCAGUUUCUGCGUUUUUCUUUUAAGAGAUUAUUCAUCUCAGUUAUCUCCAACUUUUACGAAAUUCACCCCACACUUGAAUUCUACACAGUUAUGGAAUUUUCUCCAUAACCCUCCAUACCACUUGGAUAAUUUCACUGAAUCAUGAUGAAGAUUCCGUAUUAACUAGAAAAUGACCAAAAGGCUAAAAUAAUGUGUAGAAGUGGAAGACAAUCCUUAUUAUGAGUUAGUUUCUAUAAUUAAUUUAGUCAUAAAUCCAAAAUUUUAAGAUGAUACAAAGCCUAGUCUAAUAGUGUUCUUAUUGGGUUACCACUUAACUGACCACCUACAAAUAUUUAAUGCUGCAAACUUCAUGCUUAAGACGGCUAGUUAUUUAUAAAAUAACAAUAUUACAGCAGAGGGGAAAUUACAUCAUCACUUUGUGAUUGGCAAAUAAUAAGAGCAAUAUAAAAUACCCUUUUACUAUGGAAAUUUAAGCAACCUCUACUAAAAAGUUGUUUUUUCUGUUUGACAGGUUCCUUUGUUCCACAACUUAGAUGACCUUAUUCUUGACAACAUCUGUGACAGGGUGAGGCCCCUAGUCUUCUCUAAAGAUGAAAAGGUAUUACUCAUGUAAACAAUUGACAUCAUUUGAUACCAUAUUUUCUUCCAAGCAUUACAUGUGCAAAAGACCAUCAUGUUGUUAAUGCCCUUGUGAAACAGAUAAUCAGAGAAGGUGAUCCUGUACCAAGGAUGAUGUUCAUCGUCCGAGGACGCAUAAAGCGCAGCCAAAGUCUGAGCAAAGGCAUGGUAGCCUUAAGCAUCCUUGAGCCAGGAGGGUUUUUGGGUGACGAGCUACUUUCAUGGUGCCUUCGCCGGCCAUUUAUAGAUAGACUUCCGGCCUCCUCAGCCACAUUUGUGUGUCUUGAAUCAGCAGAAGCCUUUGGCCUUGAUGCAGAGCACUUGAGGUACAUCACUGAUCACUUCAGGUACAAGUUUGCCAACGAGAGGCUGAAGAGAACAGCAAGAUAUUACUCAUCUAAUUGGAGAACCUGGGCU
RNAcentral lists this long non-coding RNA (1355 nucleotides) under Phaseolus vulgaris (common bean). RNAcentral's name for it is "long non-coding RNA (PVUL_LNC001405)". The record is from RNAcentral. Lineage: Eukaryota; Viridiplantae; Streptophyta; Magnoliopsida; Fabales; Fabaceae.